RNAcentral lists this ribosomal RNA (531 nucleotides) under Rhodotorula mucilaginosa. RNAcentral describes it as "partial large subunit ribosomal RNA". It matches the Rfam family "Eukaryotic large subunit ribosomal RNA", at positions 79 to 628 of the family's 3401-position model. Lineage: Eukaryota; Fungi; Basidiomycota; Microbotryomycetes; Sporidiobolales; Sporidiobolaceae. The record is from RNAcentral.
CCUAGUAGCGGCGAGCGAAGCGGGAAGAGCUCAAAUUUAUAAUCUGGCACCUUCGGUGUCCGAGUUGUAAUCUCUAGAAAUGUUUUCCGCGUUGGACCGCACACAAGUCUGUUGGAAUACAGCGGCAUAGUGGUGAGACCCCCGUAUAUGGUGCGGACGCCCAGCGCUUUGUGAUACAUUUUCGAAGAGUCGAGUUGUUUGGGAAUGCAGCUCAAAUUGGGUGGUAAAUUCCAUCUAAAGCUAAAUAUUGGCGAGAGACCGAUAGCGAACAAGUACCGUGAGGGAAAGAUGAAAAGCACUUUGGAAAGAGAGUUAACAGUACGUGAAAUUGUUGGAAGGGAAACGCUUGAAGUCAGACUUGCUUGCCGAGCAAUCGGUUUGCAGGCCAGCAUCAGUUUUCCGGGAUGGAUAAUGGUAGAGAGAAGGUAGCAGUUUCGGCUGUGUUAUAGCUCUCUGCUGGAUACAUCUUGGGGGACUGAGGAACGCAGUGUGCCUUUGGCGGGGGUUUCGACCUCUCACACUAGGAUGCUG